Molecule: long non-coding RNA, 243 nt
Filed under: Panax ginseng (ginseng)
Lineage: Eukaryota; Viridiplantae; Streptophyta; Magnoliopsida; Apiales; Araliaceae
Description: long non-coding RNA (PGIN_LNC002711)
Source: RNAcentral
GCAGAUACGGACAAGUCAAAGUCAGCGGUUCUUGGAAGAGCGUUUUUUUGUGACUUCUCAAAAAGCGAGGAACCCGAACGAAGUUAGAAUGGGUUAGUUAAUUAUAAAUUCUUGCGAAGUUUAUACCUUAUUAGAUACUGGUUCUACCCAUUCUUUUAUCUCUCUUGCUUGCGUUCAACGUUUGAACUUGACUACGGAGAAAUUAGACUUUGACCUAUCUGUGGAGACUCCGUUAGGAGAAAC